GAAUACUUUCAUUCCACCAUAUAAAAUAACGUUCACAUGAAAACGUAAACAUUCAAUUGACAACAUUCUAGUAGCGAGUAAUUGAUUUUUUAUUGAGAAGGGACUAUGGGAAAACCGGACAUAGAAGAUGUAUUCCAACCAAGUACCAAAUCAGUAUCUUGCUGCAGCUGUGGGUAAUAUAUUGACGGUCAUUUAUGGCAUCUCCGCAGGAUGGGCAAGUCCUUCUCUUUUCUAUUACAAUCGGACAAAUCGCCAUUGCCAUCGGGUAAAAUUACAAUAGAUUGCAUCUUUUAUUUGUAUCGGUGGUUUGAUUGGAAAUAUCCUAUUUGGAUGGAUUACAAGUAAAAAAACUUCCAAUUUGGGUUCAAAUUGGACAACUGGCCUCGUCGAUAAAGCCGGAAGAAAGUAUUUGUUUGUAGUGUCAUCUCUUGGUAUUGCUUUGGGUUUAAUUACACUGGUAUAAUGUUGAUAUCAUGGAAUGUUAACUUGGAAGUCGUAAACUGGAUUCCAAUUACAAGUUUCUCAUUCGUAAUAUUUAUAGCAAGUUGGGCGGUAUUAACCUUUCCAUUCUUGGUCAUCUCGGAAGUGAUGCCGGAAAAAAAUAAAGAUUUUGGACUCUCAUUUUGUAUAGCCUGCUUAUGGACGUGUUCAUUUGCUGUAGUAAAAUGUUUCCCAUUACAUCAUGGUACAAUGUUCCUAUUUUCGGUUUUCUGUUUGGCUAGCACAUUAUUUAUUAUCAUUUACAUGCCGGAAACAAAGGGAAAAGGCUACGAUGAAAUAAUGUACUCACUUCGUUAAGAAGUAUUGGAUUUGUUUUAAAAAUCAUUCAAUGCGAUUCAAACAAAUGACAUAUUCAUUGCUUAUAUAAUG
Long non-coding RNA from Contarinia nasturtii (swede midge), 870 nucleotides. RefSeq lists it as uncharacterized. NCBI's taxonomy places the organism in Eukaryota, Metazoa, Arthropoda, Insecta, Diptera, Cecidomyiidae. The record is from RefSeq and is a predicted model, not a curated record. The transcript has 4 exons.